Molecule: ribosomal RNA, 451 nt
Filed under: Variovorax paradoxus
Lineage: Bacteria; Pseudomonadati; Pseudomonadota; Betaproteobacteria; Burkholderiales; Comamonadaceae
Description: bacterial SSU rRNA
Rfam family: Bacterial small subunit ribosomal RNA
Source: RNAcentral
GCAGCGCGGGAGCAAUCCUGGCGGCGAGUGGCGAACGGGUGAGUAAUACAUCGGAACGUGCCCAAUCGUGGGGGAUAACGCAGCGAAAGCUGUGCUAAUACCGCAUACGAUCUACGGAUGAAAGCAGGGGAUCGCAAGACCUUGCGCGAAUGGAGCGGCCGAUGGCAGAUUAGGUAGUUGGUGAGGUAAAGGCUCACCAAGCCUUCGAUCUGUAGCUGGUCUGAGAGGACGACCAGCCACACUGGGACUGAGACACGGCCCAGACUCCUACGGGAGGCAGCAGUGGGGAAUUUUGGACAAUGGGCGAAAGCCUGAUCCAGCCAUGCCGCGUGCAGGAUGAAGGCCUUCGGGUUGUAAACUGCUUUUGUACGGAACGAAACGGCCUUUUCUAAUAAAGAGGGCUAAUGACGGUACCGUAAGAAUAAGCACCGGCUAACUACGUGCCAGCAGC